RNAcentral lists this ribosomal RNA (245 nucleotides) under uncultured bacterium. RNAcentral describes it as "partial 16S ribosomal RNA". It matches the Rfam family "Bacterial small subunit ribosomal RNA", at positions 524 to 768 of the family's 1533-position model. The record is from RNAcentral.
UACGAAGGUGGCAAGCGUUGUUCGGAAUCACUGGGCUUAAAGAGCACGUAGGCGGCCUUGUAAGCGCUUUGUGAAAUCCCCCGGCUCAACCGGGGAAUUGCUGGGCGGACUGCAAGGCUUGAGGCAGGUAGGGGUGCGUGGAACCCUAGGUGGAGCGGUGAAAUGCGUAGAUAUCUAGGGGAACGCCAGCGGCGAAAGCGGCGCACUGGGCCUGUCCUGACGCUGAGGUGCGAAAGCUAGGGGAG